AUGCCCGGCUUGGGGAUAGGGGAGCACAGAGAGCUGAGCCAGAGCAGGGAGCCCAGUGCAGGGAUYGGCCCGUCUUCCCCCUCUCGCAGCCCCACGCGUCGGCCGGUUUGCGUUACGCUCCUGGUUCCCUGCAUGCAGCCCCAGCGUGCCUCAGUUUCCCCACCUGCAGAUGGGACCACGUCCGCCCUGCGCAGCAGUGCUUGGAGCUGCGAGGGCAGGGAGCUCCACGUGGCUGACGUGCCCUGCGCGGGCAGGCGGAGGGACAGCGCGGAGRGCUGGUUUGUACCUACCCAGGUGUGCAGAGCCAGCGACCUCCGGGGCGAGACCACCACUGAGGGGCUUCUGGGCCCGCGGCUCACUGACAACCCAAUUCCCCAGCACCCAGGUCCCUCCUGCUCCCCUGAGCCAGCCCCAGAUCUGGCUCGCAGGGGAAAGAGGACGUCGGUCCCCCGUCUUGGCCAAAGCUAUGGCUCACCAGCCAUGCGCAGGGGUUUUCCGCACCACCUGGCCUUGAUGCCUCUGGGUGCGGGGAGAUCCCUCCCGCAGCCGGGGGGUGGGAUGGUGGGACGGGACCCCCUGCGCCGCACCGCGUCGGGUGCCCACGACACCAGGGCACCUCGGCUCUGGCCGGCGCGGGGAGGCGGCRGGGCCGGGCGAGCUGCGCUCCGGCRGGGCRCUCGCCUUCCUCGCCCCGGCCUUGCCGCRAGGGGGAAGAUUUACAGGCUGUCAGAGCGAGGGCGAAAGGUCAGCAGGGGUCAGAAAGUCCAUUUCGGAGAGGUCACUGUCCACUUCUUUCAAUCUAAUGAAGCCAUUAUUUGUGAAAGCGGCCGCUUUGCUGGCUAUUCCCUUGAAGCAGAGCAGAGCACAGCGCCGGGCUCUGAAAGAACAGGAAGGGCUCCCCUUCCCUUUCGCAUCCGCCAUUCAACAGGCCCCAAAAACAAACACACCACACACAGGAAUAUGACGCGGGGCUGGGCUGGCUCCGCUGCGGGCUGUGUCGCAGCGGCUUGGCGUUGCGAGGUUUCGGCGUAA
Molecule: long non-coding RNA, 1032 nt
Filed under: Apteryx rowi (Okarito brown kiwi)
Lineage: Eukaryota; Metazoa; Chordata; Aves; Apterygiformes; Apterygidae
Description: lncRNA (ENSARWG00000010616.1)
Source: RNAcentral